This 155-nucleotide non-coding RNA is filed under the name human gut metagenome. The record is from RNAcentral.
GUGAAUUCGGGAGAAUAGACAAUCGGGUCAAAGUCCCGAACGGUACCGCCGCUGUUGGUGCGUAGGCAAUGUUUUAUUGAUGCAAAUCAGCCAUUGGGAAACUGAGAAGGCAAAACAUUCGCUGUUGAAGCACAAGUCAGAAGACCUGCUUGAGU